RNAcentral lists this long non-coding RNA (3384 nucleotides) under Brassica napus (rape). RNAcentral's name for it is "long non-coding RNA (BNAP_LNC002219)". The record is from RNAcentral. Lineage: Eukaryota; Viridiplantae; Streptophyta; Magnoliopsida; Brassicales; Brassicaceae.
UGAUGACUCUUCCUCGUCCUUAUGACGGCGACUCGAGGUAGGAGAUGGUUGGUCAAGAGAGCCCUGUGACUGUUGGUUUUUCUGAAGUUCACCACUAGCUUGAUCAUAACGCUCAGCCAAAGCGCGGUACAUGCGGUAAAACUCCUCCACAAGGUGGAUUAACUCGGGACGCUUCUGGUAAUACAUCUGAGCUUUCUUGGCAAAAGAGUCUGCGUCUUCUUCAAUCAACUUCAACAUGUGUUUCACACGGUCAUCCAUCUCUGAGAAGCCAUAACAAUAACAAGUUCAAUACAUUAAGUGGACAUAGAUCUUAAUGGUAAGUAAGGCAACAUACUCUCUAGAUUCUCUGCAAGCCACUUUGAGUUCUUGGGACAAUUGUGACUGUCCCACCACCAUGAGUGUGAUUUUUUGGUCGUAGACCUCUUAAACUGCUUCUUGCUAAGUGCCUGAAAAAAUAAAUAAGAAAAAGUGAGUAAGUCUUAGGACCAGAGACCAAACACAAGGACCAAGUCAACAUAAUGGUUUCUUACCGCAGACGAGGCCAUGACUUUGAGGGGUGUAGAGAAUCUUAGGAACCCCUACAAGAAAAUUAAAGAUUGUCAGUUAAUAUUAAGAGACUUGAGUGUCUCUUGAAGAUUUGCUUGAGUUUAUCGAAACAAGUGGGACAAAACAGAUGAGAUGAGAUAAGAGGAAGAAGAUAGGAUUGUGCAUGCGGCAAAGGAGACACGUGAAGCUUUAACAACCCAUUGUGGCAUUUGCGCAAUUUUCAAGAAGUCCAAAGAUUCUCAGCUUUUACCAGCGUUUUACUCCCUCCGUUCUUAAAAAAUAAAUUUUUUAAAAUUUUCACACAUAUUAAAAAAACGCAUUAAAUUACUAUAAUAAAUUUAUCGUUUUCUGUAAGUUUUAAUUUUUAACAAUUUUUAACUAAUAAUAAUAUAAUAAAACCAAUUAAUUUUCUUAAAAUUUGCAAUUUUUCAUAGAAAACAUAGAAUAUACAUCUUUUUGAAACAAAAUUUUUUUCUAAAAUAUAAAUUAUUUAAGAACAGAAAGAGUAUAUACCAGAAUAAUCGAUGAAACUAAUAAUAUAACUGCAUAUUAAAGAAAGAAGAAGAGACAAAAAAUUUCUUUUCUUUGAAAUAAAAGAGACAAAAAGUUGUAGGAGGAUAAAAGCUUACUUUACACAAAUGCAGAAGAACAGAGAGUUUAUGAUUGAGAAUGCUCAUAGAAUGGUCUUCAUAAAGCCCUUUAUAUCUGCCUUGAAGAUGAUUAAUCUAAUCAUAAACUAAUCAUCUUUGUCUCACCUUCCCUAAAUAAAAUAUUAUUAAGUAAUAUCAAUAAGGACACAUGAAUCUUGAAAAUUCGUAUACGCGGCUCUGAAAGUGUGAAUACGCUUUCUCUACACGUCACAGAAUCUCACCUGCUUAUUUUAAUUUUCUUAAAGUCUUCUUUGUUUUAGAAAAAAGAAAGACUCAAUGAUUGUGACAUAGUGUAGUCGUUGUGAUUAAUGGCGGAUCGAUCUGCAACGCCCAAAAUUUUGCAUGUGGCGUCGUUGUGAUUAGACAGAGAGAGAGAUAGAGAUAUGAAACUUAUUUCUUCCGACAUAUUUAACCAAACCUUCAACAAACUUUGAAACAUAAUAAAUUUACAAGCUAGCUAAGUUGAUGGUGAAUGAUAUUAAGGAUAAUCAUCAAUCAAGACAUGUGAUCCAUAUUGAUUAUUCACUAUGAUUCCUCUAAUUAUGUUAUUUAUCCUAUCAUUAUCCUUGCAGUAUCAUCUUAUAAUUACUUAGGAUUUUCAUCUUUAUAUGUAUGUGCUCUAAAGAUAAAAUGCAAUACAACACAGUAUUCCAUGAAAGAUAGCCAUAAUCAACUAUCCAAUAGUGGUAAUGGCAAACAAACUUUAGAUUGCUAAACAACCUAAAUUCGAAAGCAUUUUUUACCCUUCAUUGUGUGGCCACAUGUAUAUAGACGCAUUGCUUACAUUUUAUACAAACAUCCAAAGAAAAAAAAAGAAAUUAGUUUAGAUAUUUCUAAAGGUUUAAGAUAACUAGAUUUAGAAAAAAUAGCCAUAAACAACCAACGGGCCUUGGGCUAGUGGCACUUGAGGGAUAAUCCCAAUACGUUGAAUCCGCAGUUCAAUUCCCGUUGGCCACCAAAAUUUAACAUUGCACUUCUGGAGCCCACAGAAUAGUCGGCGGUUGAUCUCGGUCGCCGGACACUGUGAUUAAAUCAAAAAAAAAAUAGCCAUAAACUAAAACAUAAACUUUGAUGAAUCAAACGCGUAGUGAGUAACGAAGAGAAUAAUUCUAUUCCUGCUACAGAAUUGACUACUCUUUUUUGACAAAAUAUUGACUAAUCUGUCGGGUUUAUUAAAGAAAUGUUAUAGUUUACUAUAUAUAGACGAUUGAAGAUUUUGAAUUUGGUAUACAAAACUAAUAUAUGUACGAAAUAAGAUUGAAAUUUUAUAUUCAUGAGAUAAAUAGGAGUCAUAGUUUGGAAACAUCUAAUGCUAUGCGAUAGUUCUAAUGAGAAAAUAGAUCAUCGAUCUUUAUUUUGAAAAAAGAAGUAGCAGUGGACGUUAAAAUAAACGCGAAGCACAGUUCAAUGUCAAUGAAGUCAAUCUGGCAACAACCCACCGUAUUGAUUUCAAAAAAGAAAUGAUCGAUCGCCUAUCUCAUAUGUAUUUUUUAAAACAAUACAAAAUGAUAAUAAUAGAAAGAGACACAAUACCACCAGACGUGGUUGCGCAGAAAAGAGUGGCCCCUGCAUCUUUAGUUUCCUCUUUAACCAAAUCAAGACUCUCUUGCUCAACACCAAGUUGAGUUUCUGCUUCAGAGGAAAUGCAACUCUUAAGCUCAAUCUUCAGAUUAGCGAUCUCUUUUUCUUGCAUUCGAAUCUUUACAUUAGCUUCUUUAAGCUCUCCUUCAUAUACAGUAAUUUUCUGAAGGAGAUCAGUGUUGUUGUCACCAUUAAGACGUUCCUGCUGUAGAUGGAGUUUCUCUUUAGUUUCUUGAAGCUCAAUUUCUAGAUCAGCCAUCCUACGGAUCAAUGCCUCGUCACCAUCUUCAUCAUUAACAGAGGAAUGAUCAGGAACCGACUUAGAGUUAGAAUCAGAAUCAGACAGAGAUGAUGAGUCUUCCUCUUCCUUAUGAGGGUGACUCGAUUUCUCUUGGGAAUUAGCAGGAGAUGAUUUCUCAAGAGAGCCCUGUGGCUGUAUCCCAGAGAGAUGAAUUUUCUGAAGUUCACCACUAGCUUGAUCAUAACGCUCAGCCAAAGCGCGAUACAUGCGGUAAAACUCCUCCACAAGGUGGAUUAACUCGGGACGCUUCUGGUAAUACAUCUGAGCUUUCUUGGCAAAAGAGUCUGCGUCUUCUUCAAUCAACUU